RNAcentral lists this ribosomal RNA (499 nucleotides) under uncultured bacterium. RNAcentral's name for it is "partial 16S ribosomal RNA". It matches the Rfam family "Bacterial small subunit ribosomal RNA", at positions 29 to 507 of the family's 1533-position model. The record is from RNAcentral.
ACGAACGCUGGCGGCGUGCCUAAUACCUGCAAGUCGAGCGGACUGAUUAAGAGCUUGCUCUUAUGACGUUAGCGGCGGACGGGUGAGUAACACGUGGGCAACCUGCCCUGUAGAUCGGGAUAACACCGAGAAAUCGGUGCUAAUACCGGGUAAUAUCUGAGAUCACAUGAUCUUAGGUUAAAAGAUGGCUCCGGCUAUCACUACAGGAUGGGCCCGCGGCGCAUUAGCUAGUUGGUAAGGUAAUGGCUUACCAAGGCGACGAUGCGUAGCCGACCUGAGAGGGUGAUCGGCCACACUGGGACUGAGACACGGCCCAGACUCCUACGGGAGGCAGCAGUAGGGAAUCUUCCGCAAUGGACGAAAGUCUGACGGAGCAACGCCGCGUGAGUGAUGAAGGGUUUCGGCGCGUAAAGCUCUGUUGUUAGGGAAGAAACAGUACCGAACGAACUAGGUCGGUACCUUGACGGUACCUAACCAGAAAGCCACGGCUAACUACGUG